AGGCAGAGGAAAUCCUUCACAAUCUCUUUAUCAAGAGCAGACUAAGCCGGUCUCCUGAAGAUGGCGGAAGAGUAGGGGGACACGCUUGCCCUCUCCCACAAACACAACAACAACAACAAAAGCACAUCUACAGGUGAAUCAACUGGCACAGAACAGCAAUAAUCGCUGGCAAAAGAACCUAAACUCCAAUAACCGCAAGAAUCUCGUGACAUAACUGGGUAAAACAAGAGAAAAGAGGAGAGUGAGACAAGGGGAAUCGGGGCUAGACGGGCUCUCCUGAAAGGGAACUGUGGAGGAGAAAGGGAUCCCACACCCUGGAAAGUCACCUAUGAUGGAAAGAUCAACCAAAUCAGAGAGAUCUCCAGAUGCAGAGAAGAGUGCAGCAGUAAGUCUGAGAUCUGAAGAGUAGAGUGAGCACCAAACAGAUCAUCUGAAAUACUGGCGCAUUCACCAAAAACGGAGACUCUUGGGUGGUGGCUGGGCACCAAGACCUCGGCUCUGGAGGUUUUUGGCUGAGACGCUCAUGUAAUGAAAAAGACAGAUUAACAGGAGAAACCAAAUGGAGAUGGUACAUGGGAGACACCCAGGAAAACUGAGUAACUUUUCUGCAUUUUCACAUAAAAUCAUAAAAGAAUUUCCCUCAUUCUUUGUAUAUUUUAUUUUAAAUGGCUGCAUAAUCUUCUGUCUUUCAGGUGUACCACGAUUUAAGAUAUUAUUUUUAUUAUUAGAUAAAAUAUGGUAUUUUUGUUUACUCUUUUAAAAGUGAAGCUGUAAGUGAGUGAAGCAGUACACAGUGAAGCAGUACACAGUGAGAUGAUAGGUUGAGGGCAUACCAAUAUUAAAAAAUUAAAUUUCUAUGGCUAUAAUCAUACUGUCAUCCCAUUCAAUGAUGUUAUCUCACUGAAUUGGUACAUAAGACUAAUAGCAAAAGCUACAACCAAUCAUUUGAAUGAAACUGGAAUACUGGAUCAAACAUUUGUUGAAUUUUCAUCUGUCUACUGGAUAACUUUACAGCUUUAUUUGUCUCCUAUCUUUGAAGGUAACUGGCUCAGAGAUGGAGAACUGCCAAUACUGGUACAUUAGUAGUUUGGGAUUAACAUAUACACACUACUAUGUAUAAUACAGAUAAUCAACAAAAACCUGCAGAGCAUAGUGAACUCUACUCAAUAUUUAUGAUAACCUAUAUGGGAAAAGAAUCUGCAAAAGAGUAUAUAUAUGUAUAUGUAUAACUGAAUUUCUUUGCUGUACACCUGAAACUACCACAACAUUGUAAAUCAACUAUACUCCAAAAUAAAAAAUUAAGAAUUUAUUGUAGAAAAAAUAUUUGUAUAUGCCUUUCCAAAAAACUGGGGAAAAACAGGAAAUAAAAAAUAACAUAG
Molecule: long non-coding RNA, 1379 nt
Filed under: Sus scrofa (pig)
Lineage: Eukaryota; Metazoa; Chordata; Mammalia; Artiodactyla; Suidae
Source: RNAcentral